GGAUGCGAUCAUACCAGCACUAAAGCACGGAUCCCAUCAGAACUCCGAAGUUAAGCGUGCUUGGCGAGAGUAGUACUAGGAUGGGUGACCUCCUGGGAAGUCCUCGUGUUGCAUUCUC
RNAcentral lists this ribosomal RNA (118 nucleotides) under Secale cereale subsp. dighoricum. The record is from RNAcentral. Lineage: Eukaryota; Viridiplantae; Streptophyta; Magnoliopsida; Poales; Poaceae.